GACGAACGCUGGCGGCGUGGAUUAGGCAUGCAAGUCGAACGGUAUCAUCCUUUCGGGGGUGAGAGAGUGGCGAACUGGUGAGUAACACGUAGGUUAUCUACCCUCAAGACGGGGACAACCCAGGGAAACUUGGGCUAAUACCGGAUGUGAGCAACUUUUAGUUGUUUGAAAGGUGGCGUAAGCUGUCGCUUGGGGAUGAGCCUGCGUCCUAUUAGUUAGUUGGUGAGGUAACGGCUCACCUAGGCAAUGAUAGGUAGGCGGCCUUAACGGGUGGUCGCCCACACUGGGAUUGAGAUACGGCCCAGACUCCUACGGGAGGCAGCAGUCGAGAAUAGUCUACAAUGGUCGGAAGACUGAUAGUGCGACGCCGCGUGAACGAUGAAUCCCUUCGGGGUGUAAAGUUCUUUUAUAUGUGAGCAGUGCUUUCUUAUAUUAACAGUAUGGGGAAGAGAUAUUAGCAUAUGAAUAAGCAACGGCUAACUCCGUGCCAGCAGCCGCGGUAAUACG
This 507-nucleotide ribosomal RNA is filed under the name uncultured bacterium. Its description in RNAcentral is "bacterial SSU rRNA". It matches the Rfam family "Bacterial small subunit ribosomal RNA", at positions 28 to 527 of the family's 1533-position model. The record is from RNAcentral.